Molecule: transfer RNA, 72 nt
Filed under: Bos taurus (domestic cattle)
Lineage: Eukaryota; Metazoa; Chordata; Mammalia; Artiodactyla; Bovidae
Also listed under: 1 other name
Rfam family: tRNA
About the family: Transfer RNA (tRNA) molecules are approximately 80 nucleotides in length. Their secondary structure includes four short double-helical elements and three loops (D, anti-codon, and T loops).
Source: Rfam by way of RNAcentral
UCCCUGGUGGCUCAGAGGUUAAAGCAUCUGCCUGCAAUGUGGGAGACCUGGGUUCGAUACCUGGGUUGGGAA